This is a long non-coding RNA of Lepisosteus oculatus (spotted gar), 413 nucleotides long. RefSeq lists it as uncharacterized. The record is from RefSeq and is a predicted model, not a curated record. Lineage: Eukaryota; Metazoa; Chordata; Actinopteri; Semionotiformes; Lepisosteidae.
UUCCGGUGCCUUUCUCGGCCUCCCCUCUAUACGGGUUGAGACUGACUGCUCUGCUGCCACGUAAUCCGGAGACAAGUCAAACGGGAGGCGGGGGGGGGUCUGCAGCCUAGCACGGCAGACUGUAUAGAGGCUAAAUGCUAAGGAGUCGUACGUGAUUUCUGGAAACCACCGCAUGAAACAAGAACAAGACGGAGUUUAAUAUCUUUUCGUAAAAUAAAAACCGCUUCUCUUCCGCUGUAGGACAUAAAGCCCGGGGGAUAGGCUUUCAGUACUUCUAACAGCUUGAACAUCAGCAGUAAUUGGAAGAGAGGCCUGGAGGUUUUAUCACUGUGGUCAACGGGGCUGGCAGCCUCAUCACCGACAUCUGAUUGCUGCGCCAAGCAGGGAAGAGCCCCUUCUGUUGAGUGCAGAGA